UUAGAUCACCGAAGUCAAGCAUCAUUGGGCGCGGUCAGUACUUGGGUGGGUGAACACCUGGAACACCGCGUGCCGUU
Molecule: non-coding RNA, 77 nt
Organism: Caerostris extrusa
Lineage: Eukaryota; Metazoa; Arthropoda; Arachnida; Araneae; Araneidae
Source: the annotation of a GenBank genome assembly